This is a long non-coding RNA of Rosa chinensis, 1259 nucleotides long. RefSeq lists it as uncharacterized. The transcript is spliced from 3 exons. The record is from RefSeq and is a predicted model, not a curated record. Lineage: Eukaryota; Viridiplantae; Streptophyta; Magnoliopsida; Rosales; Rosaceae.
GCUUUGAGCGCAUCAGGGUGGGCAUAAAUGACCGAAAAACCAGAAGGAACCGAUCCGGACCGGCCGGUUCGGGUCGAAUUUUAGAUUGAAAAUAAGUGAUUUCGGGCCGGUUCGGUCCUUGUACUCAAUUUGCCGGUCCGGUCCCGAUUCUUAACUUGUGGUGACUACGUGGACCAAAAAAACCGAGCUUGUAUAGGUGUCUUCCAAUUAUUGGUUAAUUUCGAAGUCUAUUGUGUUAGUAUGGACAUGACCACAUGUGAUUAGUAAGUAAACCUAAACUCUAAAACUAAAAUCCCAAAACCUAAAUUGGUCUUAUUCUCAGCUCUCUGCGACUCCGCCUCUUUAGCUCUCUCCCUCACAAUCGGUCUUCCUCACCAGUCUCACUUCCUCAGCUCUCUGCUACUCCGCAUCUCUGGCUCUCUCCCUCACAACGUCUACAGCAAGGUCAUCAAGGCCCAGAUUUGGGACAUUGAUGGCCAAGAAAGGCUCAGAUCUGAGAUCUCCCUUUCUCCCUCUUCUCUGUUCUUCAUUUUCCCCCAUAGUCCACAGGGCUUGCUUGAGAGCUGGGGGAUUUUCUUCUUGCAAUAUGUGCUGCUGUGUUGGUGAACUUGUUGUGUAACUGUGUUGAUUGUUAUUUGCAAGAUGGUUUUAUUUGCAGCCUUGCUGCUAGUGCAGAUUGCAGAAUGGUUUAUUGGUUUUAUUUAUAGCAUUGAUUGUUAUUUGCAAGAUGGUUUUAUUUGCAGCCUUGCUGCUAGUGCAGAUUGUAGAAUGGUUUAUUGGUUUUAUUUUCAGCAUUGUAGCCUUGCUGCUAGUUCAGAUUGCAUUACUCUUUAUACAAUUCCAUUCUCUAAAGUCUAAACAGAAGCAGGUCAAGCAGCAAAAUGCAGCAGUGCUGCAAAUAUUGAUUGGAACAAGAAACCGGAAAAACAGGCAUGUUUUGUCCCGGUCCCUGUUAUUUGCAACAACGGUCCCGACCCGAAGUAAGACUGCCGGUCCCGGUUUCUAUAAAACCAUUGACGGUCCGGGUUUAGCCCGGUCCUUGUUUUGUGAAACUGCAAGACCGGCCCGAAGUAAGAUUGCUUGUCCCGGUCCCUGUAAAUGCAGUGCCGGUUUGGGACUGUGCCCAGCCCUAGGUUGAAGACAUGGUGGAACUUAACUCUCCUACCACUUCUGAAAAAAGUCGGACACUACAUAUUGAAUCGAGCUAUUUGUUUCAAUAGUAAAUGAUGCAUUCUAGAAUCAAGUUUAUGAUUGACCUA